Molecule: non-coding RNA, 104 nt
Organism: Phyllosticta citrichinensis
Lineage: Eukaryota; Fungi; Ascomycota; Dothideomycetes; Botryosphaeriales; Phyllostictaceae
Source: the annotation of a GenBank genome assembly
GGGUCUGUGGUCUAGGGGUAUGACACUCCCUUAGCAUCUGGAUAAUGAUAACCAUCUGGAUAUUGAAUUGGGAGAGGUCCCGGGUUCAAUUCCCGGCGGAUCCA